AGUGAACGCUGGCGGUAGGCCUAACACAUGCAAGUCGAACGGCAGCACAGUAAGAGCUUGCUCUUACGGGUGGCGAGUGGCGGACGGGUGAGGAAUACAUCGGAAUCUACUUUUUCGGGGGGGAUAACGUAGGGAAACUUACGCUAAUACCGCAUACGACCUACGGGUGAAAGCAGGGGAUCUUCGGACCUUGCGCGAUUGAAUGAGCCGAUGUCGGAUUAGCUAGUUGGCGGGGUAAAGGCCCACCAAGGCGACGAUCCGUAGCUGGUCUGAGAGGAUGAUCAGCCACACUGGAACUGAGACACGGUCCAGACUCCUACGGGAGGCAGCAGUGGGGAAUAUUGGGCAAUGGGCGCAAGCCUGAUCCAGCCAUACCGCGUGGGUGAAGAAGGCCUUCGGGUUGUAAAGCCCUUUUGUUGGGAAAGAAAAGCAGCAGGUUAAUACCCCGCUGUUCUGACGGUACCCAAAGAAUAAGCACCGGCUAACUACGUG
RNAcentral lists this ribosomal RNA (492 nucleotides) under uncultured bacterium. Its description in RNAcentral is "partial 16S ribosomal RNA". It matches the Rfam family "Bacterial small subunit ribosomal RNA", at positions 29 to 507 of the family's 1533-position model. The record is from RNAcentral.